CUGAGACCGGAGCUUCCGGGUGCGGCUGCCCGGCCGGGACGGGUCCGUCCAGCUGCGCGGGGCCCGGGGCGGCGGCGGCGGAGCAGCGCCCGGGGGGGAUUCCCAGCCCCCUUCCCCCACGACCUGCUGUUCCAGAUGAGGCGAGGGGAAGGGCCCUGUGCCCCGCAUCUCCAGGACUCCACGCAAAGGGUGGUCCUGAGGGGAACCCGUGCAGGUGAGGAAUGCGGGAGAUCAGUUUGGGCUUUAGAAGGAAGAGUUGCAUCCUGAAUCGAUCCUAAAAAGCCAUGUGUUUUGAGAGUGGCUAAAUAAAAUCCCAGACACAGCUUA
Molecule: long non-coding RNA, 327 nt
Organism: Gopherus flavomarginatus (Mexican gopher tortoise)
Lineage: Eukaryota; Metazoa; Chordata; Testudines; Testudinidae
Exons: 2
Source: RefSeq, a predicted model, not a curated record